AGAGAUUCCUUUCACCGAUUUUGGUUGGUGUGGCCAAUACAUAUACUCAUUUCCCCCGUCCAAUAUCUACCGUUCCUCAUUGGCCCUAUCAAAAUCUCAUCAAGUUUAAAUGACCUUGCAGAGGGGCAGAUUUCGCCCCAUGCCAGAAAUGUAAAGUCCCCUUAGGGAGUAGGAGGCUGUUUUCCCUUCUCGUGCGCGUGUAAAUAAUAUAAGGUGUAUUUUUAUAUAAAACAG
Molecule: ribosomal RNA, 234 nt
Filed under: Segatella buccae ATCC 33574
Lineage: Bacteria; Pseudomonadati; Bacteroidota; Bacteroidia; Bacteroidales; Prevotellaceae
Description: Prevotella buccae ATCC 33574 partial 16S ribosomal RNA
Source: RNAcentral